CUACGGGUCGCUCCAGUGGGGAAUAUUGCACAAUGGGCGCAAGCCUGAUGCAGCCAUGCCGCGUGUAUGAAGAAGGCCUUCGGGUUGUAAAGUACUUUCAGCGGGGAGGAAGGGAGUAAAGUUAAUACCUUUGCUCAUUGACGUUACCCGCAGAAGAAGCACCGGCUAACUCCGUGCCAGCAGCCGCGGUAAUACGGAGGGUGCAAGCGUUAAUCGGAAUUACUGGGCGUAAGCGCACGCAGGCGGUUUGUUAAGUCAGAUGUGAAAUCCCCGGGCUCAACCUGGGAACUGCAUCUGAUACUGGCAAGCCUGAGUCUCGUAGAGGGGGGUAGAAUUCCAGGUGUAGCGGUGAAAUGCGUAGAGAUCUGGAGGAAUACCGGUGGCGAAGGCGGCCCCCUGGACGAAGACUGACGCUCAGGUGCGAAAGCGUGGGGAGCAAACAGGAUUAGAUACCCCCGUACUC
This 463-nucleotide ribosomal RNA is filed under the name uncultured bacterium. RNAcentral's name for it is "partial 16S ribosomal RNA". It matches the Rfam family "Bacterial small subunit ribosomal RNA", at positions 339 to 795 of the family's 1533-position model. The record is from RNAcentral.